This 253-nucleotide ribosomal RNA is filed under the name uncultured bacterium. Its description in RNAcentral is "partial 16S ribosomal RNA". It matches the Rfam family "Bacterial small subunit ribosomal RNA", at positions 524 to 776 of the family's 1533-position model. The record is from RNAcentral.
UACGAAGGGGGCUAGCGUUGUUCGGAAUUACUGGGCGUAAAGCGCACGUAGGCGGAUUUGUAAGUCAGGGGUGAAAUCCCGGGGCUCAACCUCGGAACUGCCUUUGAUACUGCAAGUCUCGAGUCCGAUAGAGGUGAGUGGAAUUCCUAGUGUAGAGGUGAAAUUCGUAGAUAUUAGGAAGAACACCAAUGGCGAAGGCAGCCCUCUGGGACGGUACUGACGCUGAGACGCGAAAGCGUGGGGAGCGAACAGG